GAAAACAAGUGCUUGCAAACUUGAACCACGUAGUCACUUCUACUCUUUCAGCGUUGGAACAUUUAUUAUAGAAAUCAUCUUAAAAACUGUAUCCAAUUAUAAUUAUAAACUAUUUUAUUGAUAGCUGGUAAGCUUUAGAAUUGUAUGAAAUAGCAUCUUGGGUGCAAUUCCUAUGCAAAUGUGGCAUGCUUCAUAGUAAUAUUAUAAUUGACACAAUCAUGCUAUCAUGUGCAAUUGAAAACAAAAGAAUAUGUCCAAAUAAAUAGAUUCGGAUAUUAUAUUUAGAAAUUAUAAACAUGUUCCCACAAUUGUGUGUUGAACUAGAAUGGAAAAUAUAUAGUGAUCAUAACAAUAGUCGAUUGCACUAGAAAAAUGUCUGGGUUUCAUCUCUUUACUCCUUAGCAACACCUCCAAGUUUGAUAAGCUUCUCUCAGUUGUGAUCCUUGCUUGGACCCGGUGGUGUUGUUAGAGUAUUCUUGGGAAGCUUUUGGAAAACUUGGCCUUCCAGCAACAUCUUCCUGUUGCCCGUCGAAUUGAUCGCCACUUCACUGUUAUUCAUUCCAAUCCUGAACAAAGAUCCACUCACUCCACCAUGGCACUCGCAAAGACACGGAGAGAACAUCACCAUCAUCACGAGGAAGACAGCCAGCGCCUGAGUAAAUCUCGCCAUUCCCAAAGAGCCUAGAACGGAUCCGGUCCCUCUAGACGAUGAUUCUUAGCACUGUGAUCGCGUUGUCAAAAUCUCCAAAACCGGUGAUAUGAAUCGUCGAGAACGUACCUUGAAAACUCUACUAUGAUCGCCCGAGUGGAAAAAUUCGAUGCGUAUGCUUGGACAUG
This 837-nucleotide long non-coding RNA is filed under the name Selaginella moellendorffii. RNAcentral's name for it is "long non-coding RNA (SMOE_LNC001082)". The record is from RNAcentral. Lineage: Eukaryota; Viridiplantae; Streptophyta; Lycopodiopsida; Selaginellales; Selaginellaceae.